UACAGAGGUCUCAAGCGUUGUUCGGAUUCAUUGGGCGUAAAGGGCUCGUAGGCGGUUUGUCGCGUCGGGAGUGAAAACACGGGGCUUAACCCCGUGCCUGCUUCCGAUACGGGCAGACUAGAGGUAUGCAGGGGAGAACGGAAUUCCUGGUGUAGCGGUGAAAUGCGCAGAUAUCAGGAGGAACACCUGAGGUGAAGACGGGUUGCUGGGCUGACACUGACGCUGAGGCGCGAAAGCCAGGGGAGCAAACGGG
Molecule: ribosomal RNA, 253 nt
Filed under: uncultured bacterium
Lineage: Bacteria
Description: partial 16S ribosomal RNA
Rfam family: Bacterial small subunit ribosomal RNA
Source: RNAcentral